AUGAUGACGAAGAUGGUCCCGCCUGGACUGCAAAACCAGCAGCAGCGCGGUAGCAUAGUACCGCCCCACGGUGGGCGCCAAAUGUCGUGGUAUUCUCACGGGGGGUGUUGCAAGACGACAUAUGCCACAAGGUGGCUUCGUGUGAGGGCAAGACUGCUGCUGGAAUAUCCGGGGACGGGUAUGCGAGUAACACGCGCUAGUUUACCCAGCUUCGGAGCUCUCCGGAGAGAUAAUACUCCUACUGCUGCAUGUCUGAGUGUAUCUAUCUGGGGUGUACAUCGGGCAGUACAAAGUGCUCCUGGAGCUGUAUCUGAGAUCAGUGCCAUAGGCAUCUGGCUUGGUAUAUGUCUCAUAUGUGUAUGUGAGCUAGCUAGUGGCCGGCCAUGCUCAUGGCCGUGA
This 399-nucleotide ribosomal RNA is filed under the name Triticum aestivum (bread wheat). Its description in RNAcentral is "partial small subunit ribosomal RNA". Lineage: Eukaryota; Viridiplantae; Streptophyta; Magnoliopsida; Poales; Poaceae. The record is from RNAcentral.